Molecule: ribosomal RNA, 516 nt
Filed under: Amynthas sp. YN201105-01
Lineage: Eukaryota; Metazoa; Annelida; Clitellata; Crassiclitellata; Megascolecidae
Description: partial 16S ribosomal RNA
Rfam family: Bacterial large subunit ribosomal RNA
Source: RNAcentral
UCGCCCUGUUUUUCAAAAACAUUGUCUCAUGGACUACAUAUGAGAUAGAUCCUGCCCGGUGACUAACUGUUCAACGGCCGCGGUAUCCUAACCGUGCAAAGGUAGCAUAAUAAUUUGCCUAUUAAUUGUAGGCUGGAAUGAAAGGACUAACGAAAUAAAAACUGUCUCAAUUAACCACCUAAAAAUUAUUCUCUACAUGAAGAAAAGUAGAUACACUCGAAGGACAAGAAGACCCUAUAGAGCUUUAUUUUACUUAUGGAACAAAACUAUAAAAAUAUUCGGUUGGGGCGACCCAGGGCUAAACAAUCACCCAAAAGACAAAAGAUAUAUAAAUCAAGUAAAUGACCCUAUAAAGAUCACAAAACCAAGCUACCUUAGGGAUAACAGGCUAAUCCCACUUAAGAGUUCAUAUCAACAGUGGGGUUUGGCACCUCGAUGUUGGCUUAGGGUAUCUAUAUGGCGCAAAAGCUAUAUAAAGAUGGUUUGUUCAACCAACAACACCCUACGUGAUCUGUU